This 26-nucleotide non-coding RNA is filed under the name Mus musculus (house mouse). The record is from RNAcentral. Lineage: Eukaryota; Metazoa; Chordata; Mammalia; Rodentia; Muridae.
UUAGAGAUGCAGCCUCUGAAAAGGGU